Molecule: long non-coding RNA, 290 nt
Organism: Symphalangus syndactylus (siamang)
Lineage: Eukaryota; Metazoa; Chordata; Mammalia; Primates; Hylobatidae
Source: RefSeq, a predicted model, not a curated record
AGGAAGGAGGCCUCACCAGACACCUACCCUGCUGGCACCUUUACCUGAGACUUCUAGGCUCCAGAAUUGACCGUCAAGACUGCAUGUUCUAGAUAGUACAGUUACGAGAUGGCAGAGCUCUGAUAGCCUGGUGUCCUGAGUGCCUCUGUGGAGCUCGGCACUCUGCUAACCUGCUUUGGACAUAAACUAGAAACGGAGCCCAACACUCAACCCACUGGAUAUUUAUCACCUACCAUGCACCUUGAAGAGACUAUGGAGUGGUAGAAGAUUUUAAAAGGGGAAAAAAGAAG